RNAcentral lists this ribosomal RNA (696 nucleotides) under uncultured bacterium. Its description in RNAcentral is "bacterial SSU rRNA". It matches the Rfam family "Bacterial small subunit ribosomal RNA", at positions 32 to 715 of the family's 1533-position model. The record is from RNAcentral.
AACGCUAGCUACAGGCUUAACACAUGCAAGUCGAGGGGAAACGACAUCGAAAGCUUGCUUUUGAUGGGCGUCGACCGGCGCACGGGUGAGUAACGCGUAUCCAACCUGCCCACCACUUGGGGAUAACCUUGCGAAAGUAAGACUAAUACCCAAUGAUAUCUCUAGAAGACAUCUGAAAGAGAUUAAAGAUUUAUCGGUGAUGGAUGGGGAUGCGUCUGAUUAGCUUGUUGGCGGGGUAACGGCCCACCAAGGCAACGAUCAGUAGGGGUUCUGAGAGGGAGGUCCCCCACAUUGGAACUGAGACACGGUCCAAACUCCUACGGGAGGCAGCAGUGAGGAAUAUUGGUCAAUGGACGAGAGUCUGAACCAGCCAAGUAGCGUGCAGGAAGACGGCCCUAUGGGUUGUAAACUGCUUUUAUAAGGGAAUAAAGUGAGUCUCGUGAGACUUUUUGCAUGUACCUUAUGAAUAAGGACCGGCUAAUUCCGUGCCAGCAGCCGCGGUAAUACGGAAGGUCCGGGCGUUAUCCGGAUUUAUUGGGUUUAAAGGGAGCGUAGGCCGGAGAUUAAGCGUGUUGUGAAAUGUAGAUGCUCAACAUCUGAACUGCAGCGCGAACUGGUUUCCUUGAGUACGCACAAAGUGGGCGGAAUUCGUGGUGUAGCGGUGAAAUGCUUAGAUAUCACGAAGAACUCCGAUUG